GAUCAUGGCUUAGGAUGAACGCUAGCUACAGGCUUAACACAUGCAAGUCGAGGGGAAACGACAUCGAAAGCUUGCUUUUGGUGAGCGUCGACCGGCGCACGGGUGAGUAACGCGUAUCCAACCUGCCCACCACUUGGGGAUAACCUUGCGAAAGUAAGACUAAUGUCCUAUGUUGUUCUUUGCAGACAUCUAAAGAGAACGAAAGAUUUAUCGGCUAUGGAUGGGGAUGCGUCUGAUUAGGUAGUUGGCGGGGCAACGGCCCACCAAGCCGACGAUGGAUAGGGGUUCUGAGAGGAAGGUCCCCCACACUGGUACUGAGACACGGACCAGACUCCUACGGGAGGCAGCAGUGAGGAAUAUUGGUCAAUGGGCGAGAGCCUGAACCAGCCAAGUCGCGUGAGGGAUGACGGCCCUACGGGUUGUAAACCUCUUUUAUAAGGGAAUAAAGGACAUCACGAGUGGUGUUUUGCAUGUACCUUAUGAAUAAGCAUCGGCUAACUCCGUG
Molecule: ribosomal RNA, 505 nt
Filed under: uncultured bacterium
Lineage: Bacteria
Description: bacterial SSU rRNA
Rfam family: Bacterial small subunit ribosomal RNA
Source: RNAcentral